RNAcentral lists this long non-coding RNA (333 nucleotides) under Musa acuminata (dwarf banana). Its description in RNAcentral is "long non-coding RNA (MACU_LNC003256)". The record is from RNAcentral. Lineage: Eukaryota; Viridiplantae; Streptophyta; Magnoliopsida; Zingiberales; Musaceae.
AUCUUAACUUCAGUUCCUGGCUUGUGGAGACCAGACUUCACGUAGCCCAUGGCUAUGUUCUUCUUUAAGCAGGGACUGAAUCCUCCACUGGUUACCUCCCCAAUCUUUUCCCCGCUGCUGUUCAAGAUCUCAUUGUGACUUCGCGGAGGUGGGCCUGUUGAGAAGAAGCCAACACGUCUUAUAGGUGGGCCUUCCUCGAGUUGCUUUAGGAUCACUUCCGCACCCAAGAAUCCACCUUCAGCUCUUCUUCUCUUACCGAUCGCCCAUGUAAGGCCAGCCUCGACAGGUGUGGUGUGCUGAUCCAUGUCAUUGCCAUACAGACAAAGGCCAGCU